CCUACGGGGGGCUGCAGUGGGGAAUAUUGGACAAUGGGCGCAAGCCUGAUCCAGCAAUGCCGCGUGUGUGAAGAAGGCCUGCGGGUUGUAAAGCACUUUGAGUGGGGAAGAAGGCCUGGGGGUUAAUAGCUUCUGGGAUUGACGUUACCCACAGAACAAGCACCGGCUAACUCCGUGCCAGCCGCCGCGGUAAUACGGACGGUGCGAGCGUUCAUCGGAAUUACUGGGCGUAUUGCGCCAGUAUGCUGUGAAAGCCCUGGGCUUAACCUGGGAACUGCAUUGGAUACUGUUUGACUGGAGUGUGGUAGAGGGGUGUGGAAUUUCCGGUGUAGCAGUGAAAUGCGUAGAGAUCGGAAGGAACACCAGUGGCGAAGGCGGCACCCUGGACCGACACUGACGCUGAGGUGCGAAAGCGUGGGGAGCAAACAGGAUUAGAUACCCCAGUAGUC
This 449-nucleotide ribosomal RNA is filed under the name uncultured bacterium. Its description in RNAcentral is "partial 16S ribosomal RNA". It matches the Rfam family "Bacterial small subunit ribosomal RNA", at positions 338 to 795 of the family's 1533-position model. The record is from RNAcentral.